UGCAUAUCAAAAAGCGGAGGAAAAGAAACCAACAGGGAUUGCCCUAGUUACGGCGAGUGAAGCGGCAACAGCUCAAAUUUGAAAUCUGGCGUCUUCGGCGUCCGAGUUGUAAUUUGCAGAGGGCGCUUUGGCAUUGGCAGCGGUCCAAGUUCCUUGGAACAGGACGUCACAGAGGGUGAGAAUCCCGUACGUGGUCGCUAGCCUUUACCGUGUAAAGCCCCUUCGACGAGUCGAGUUGUUUGGGAAUGCAGCUCUAAAUGGGAGGUAAAUUUCUUCUAAAGCUAAAUACUGGCCAGAGACCGAUAGCGCACAAGUAGAGUGAUCGAAAGAUGAAAAGCACUUUGGAAAGAGAGUUAAAAAGCACGUGAAAUUGUUGAAAGGGAAGCGCUUGCAGCCAGACUUGCCUGUAGUUGCUCAUCCGGGUUUUUACCCGGUGCACUCUUCUACGGGCAGGCCAGCAUCAGUUUGGGCGGUUGGAUAAAGGUCUCUGUCAUGUACCUCCUCUCGGGGAGAACUUAUAGGGGAGACGACAUGCAACCAGCCCGGACUGAGGUCCGCGCAUCUGCUAGGAUGCUGGCGUAAUGGCUGUAAGCGGCCCGUCUUGAACACGGACCA
Molecule: ribosomal RNA, 615 nt
Filed under: Epicoccum nigrum
Lineage: Eukaryota; Fungi; Ascomycota; Dothideomycetes; Pleosporales; Didymellaceae
Description: partial large subunit ribosomal RNA
Rfam family: Eukaryotic large subunit ribosomal RNA
Source: RNAcentral